This 250-nucleotide ribosomal RNA is filed under the name uncultured prokaryote. Its description in RNAcentral is "partial 16S ribosomal RNA". It matches the Rfam family "Bacterial small subunit ribosomal RNA", at positions 524 to 773 of the family's 1533-position model. The record is from RNAcentral.
UACGUAUGGAGCAAGCGUUAUCCGGAUUUACUGGGUGUAAAGGGAGUGUAGGCGGCCUAAUAAGUCUGAUGUGAAAACCCGCGGCUCAACUGCGGGAUUGCAUUGGAAACUGUAAGGCUAGAGUGUCGGAGAGGUAAGUGGAAUUCCUAGUGUAGCGGUGAAAUGCGUAGAUAUUAGGAGGAACACCAGUGGCGAAGGCGGCUUACUGGACGAUAACUGACGCUGAGGCUCGAAAGCGUGGGGAGCAAAC